AAGCAGCAACUUCGAAAGGCGAUGUUGGAAAAAGACGGAAAUUUGCCUAGUGGGAUUGGGCCUGGUGGUCUUCUUCUUCAGUUUUCUACUUUCAAUAUUUCGUUCCAAGUACCACGGCUAUCCUUAUAGUUUUUAAUUAAAUGAAGCCAAGUGGGAUUUGCAUAAAGUGAAUGUUUACCAUGAAGAUAAACUGUUCCUGACUUUAUACUAUUUUGAAUUCAUUCAUUUCAUUGUGAUCAGCUAGCUUAUUCUUGUGUACUUUUUUUAAACUGUGGGUUUUCCUAGUAAAUUUAAUUUACAGAAAUCAAUGGUAGCAUUUAGUAAUCUACAAAGGAAAUAUCAAAGUGUUUUUCAAGCCUGUUAUAUUCAGUGUGUGCCACAGGAUU
This 386-nucleotide long non-coding RNA is filed under the name Homo sapiens (human). RNAcentral describes it as "HSALNT0133404". Lineage: Eukaryota; Metazoa; Chordata; Mammalia; Primates; Hominidae. The record is from RNAcentral.